RNAcentral lists this ribosomal RNA (282 nucleotides) under uncultured bacterium. Its description in RNAcentral is "partial 16S ribosomal RNA". It matches the Rfam family "Bacterial small subunit ribosomal RNA", at positions 28 to 308 of the family's 1533-position model. The record is from RNAcentral.
GAUGAACGCUAGCGGCAGGCCUAAUACAUGCAAGUCGAGGGGCAGCGGGUGUAGCAAUACAUGCCGGCGACCGGCGCACGGGUGCGUAACACGUAUGCAACCUACCUAUAACUGGAGAAUAGCCCGGAGAAAUCCGGAUUAACACUCCAUAUUAUCACGAAGAGGCAUCUCUUUGUGCUGAAAGCUCCGGCGGUUAUAGAUGGGCAUGCGUCCGAUAGCUGGUUGGUGAGGUAACGGCUCACCAAGGCGACGAUCGGUAGGGGAUCUGAGAGGAUCGACCCC